Long non-coding RNA from Salvia hispanica, 518 nucleotides. RefSeq lists it as uncharacterized. The record is from RefSeq and is a predicted model, not a curated record. NCBI's taxonomy places the organism in Eukaryota, Viridiplantae, Streptophyta, Magnoliopsida, Lamiales, Lamiaceae.
AGAAAAAAAAAAUGGUUCCGAUUGAAAACGUGAGUUUACCUUAUGAAGAAAAACAGGGGAGGAACAUGGAAGGAUAUUUACCGUGGUGAAACUUAGAUUUGGUGAGGAAAGAAGAUGAACUCCUCCCUACUGCUCCCUCCGCCGUUCUGGUGAUUCAAAGAUUGCUAAGGAAGAGCGUGGCGGCGUGGGAGGAAGGAGAUUGGAAUUUUAUUUGCUAAAAGGAAUAAAAAUAAAAUACUUCCUUCUGAAAUGACGGAAUGAAUGAAUUUUUUUUGGAAAAGGGAUUUUGCAGAAUAAAGAGGGAGAAGAAGAGAUGGAAAGUCUUGGUGAGCAAGACAAGGAAUAGAGUUUUAGUUAAAAUUAAUUUGGGCUUCAAGCACCGGUAUUUUUAUUUAAAUUGUGUAGCCCGUAAUUUAUUCUUUUGUAAGAUUGGACUUAUUCAAUUUAUCGGAUCCAACACGGAAUUGAGUCCAAUAAAUAAUCCUCAAGGAAAGGAUUUAAUUAAAUUCACAUUGUGA